ACUGCGGAGGAUCAUUAUUGAAUCUCAACCCUGAAAAGGGGAGAGGGGGAGAGAGGAAGGGGGGAGAGAAGGAAGGACAAAAGACUGUUGCUGGCUGCCCCUUGCAUGUGCACGUCGUUGCCUUUCAUCGACCCUUUUUCUCUUUCUUUCUUUUCACGCCUGGGCGCUCUGCACAUAUUGUAUGUUUUGAAUGUGACCGUCACAGCCAAAAAGGCUUGACAAACCAAAUAUAUCACACAACUUUCAGCAACGGAUCUCUUGGCUCUCGCAUCGAUGAAGAACGCAGCGAAUUGCGAUAAGUAAUGUGAAUUGCAAAUUUUCAGUGAAUCAUCGAAUCUUUGAACGCACCUUGCGCUCCUUGGUAUUCCGAGGAGCAUGCCUGUUUGAGUGUCAUUGAGUUCUCAACCAUGUCUUGAUUGAUUUCAAGGGCAUGGCUUGGAGUUUGGGGGUCUGCCAAUGAUGCAAGUCGAUCGGCUCUCCUGAAAUGCAUUAGCGAAAGGACAAGCAAGUCUGAUGUUGCGCAUGGAGCCUGUCGACGUGAUAAUGAUCGUCGUGGGCUGGCCUGUCGGACAAGCAAUCAACGUUCCUUUGCUUCCAAUCCCAUCAUACUUUGGGCCAACCCAGCUACUAGUGGGUCAUUGAAACCCUACGAACGUGGGCCAGGCCAUUGAUGAUGUUUGAAUGCUUGACCUCAAAUCAGGUAGGACUACCCGCUGAACUUAAGCAUAUCAAUAAG
Molecule: ribosomal RNA, 736 nt
Filed under: Parvixerocomus pseudoaokii
Lineage: Eukaryota; Fungi; Basidiomycota; Agaricomycetes; Boletales; Boletaceae
Description: eukaryotic LSU rRNA
Rfam family: 5.8S ribosomal RNA (bases 239-393)
Source: RNAcentral